Panicum virgatum (switchgrass) is the source of this 2958-nucleotide long non-coding RNA. RefSeq lists it as uncharacterized. The transcript is spliced from 2 exons. Lineage: Eukaryota; Viridiplantae; Streptophyta; Magnoliopsida; Poales; Poaceae. The record is from RefSeq and is a predicted model, not a curated record.
AAAAACCCCGCUUGGCCGUAUCCCUCCCUUUCCUGUCUCCUCCCCCACAGCUCCUUCCACACCACCGCCGGCGCCCUCUCCCACGCUGCUCCUCUCCUCCCCCGCCUCCCUCCCUUCCUUUCCCUUCCCCUCUACUUCCCCACCUUCCUCACCUCCCUUCCCCUCUCCUCCCCUACCUCCCUCCCCUCCUGCUAGGCCUCCCCGCCGAGCGGCGCGGGGCACGCAGCGGCCGAGCGGUCAAGCCGCGGUGUCGGGGAGUGCGGAUCUACGGCGGGGUGGGCGGAUCUGCGGUGCGGUGGCGGGGCGUACGGAUCUGCGUCGCGGCAGCGGUGCCGGGCCUCACCUCUUCCACGCGAGCGGGGAUGCGCGGUGACCGGCGCGGCGGUGCGGAAGCGCAACGAGUGGGGCGAAGGCGUGGACGUGCUGCUUGGACUGGGCGUCUUCACUACCCUGCAUCGUGGUGUUAAGGUAAUUUCUAUAUUUGCAAUUCAUUCUGAUACGAGGAGCCAAUACAAAGACGCCUCCCUCUCCUUGUUUUUCCCACACCCUCGGCGCAAUCAUCUGAAUGGCAUUCCUGUUCGAGGGGCAAGUGUUGCAUUGUUGAUAUAUGCCAGAUCCUAAAGAGAGGGGGAUAACUAGCUUUAGCUUGAAGUUAGUGCUGGUUAGUUGCCUAAAUAGGAGUACCGAUUGAUAUUCAAUUGUGGAUUUGACAUGAAAUUGUCUGCUACAAUGAGCACAUUAGGAGGUGAAUUUGUGGCUUCAGCGAACACGAUCUAGAAAUUGUUCAAUGACUAAUUACAUGGUGCAGUGCCUGCCGCUCGUAACAUGCUAUAAAAUUAUUUUCAUUAUUGCAGUGUUCUGGUAGGCAUAUGUCAACUUCUAUUAGGUCAAUUCUUGCGUAGCCACCUUGCAUCGAUAUUUAAUGGGGACCUCCAAAAUUGUUCUUGGACAUUGCUUUAAUUCUCCUGUUGUUUGCAGUUCCGGUGGACAUGCUAGAAGCACAUAGUGGAUCUUUUGCCAUGGCUGCAAAGUGAAUAUGGAUGAUCUCGUAGUAAAAAAUAAGCUUGAUGGAGCUUUUGCAUCUAACAGUGUGUUUGCCUUCAUUCCUUGUUGUUCGAUGUUUAUUUAAACCAUACCUCUACUGCUUGAGUCCCUAUAUUUUCUCAUGUUCAUGGCAUUAAGUGAAUAGAAAAAAACUUGAGGUUAGUAAAUGGAAAAAGAUCCAUUAGAGCCUUAAAUUAUGAUCUUAUCACUUAUAUAAUCAGCAGUGUUAUUUGCUCAUUUUUUCUAUUUAUAUUAGUAAAUGUCUAUUCUACUGCUAACGAGGAGGCUGCAGCUGGUAGCAUGCUAACCUGGAGCAGCGGUGAGACCAGGUGAGACCGUACCUCAUGAUAUUGAUUGCCAUGUUGUGAUAGAAUCAAAGCUUUUCUUCCCUAAUUAAGUUUAGAAGGCCAUGCAAAUAAAUUUGACGUAUUAUUUCUGAUGACAGAAUUAAUCUCACUUAUAAAUAACUAAAUCAGUGCAAAUAUCUUAGAUGAUGAGCUCUUAGUUAAUAAUAGCUAAGGAAAGCAAAAUAACUGAUUCAGAGUUAAGAGUAGUACUGAGCUUCAGUCUGUCAUGCAAAUAAAUUUGACGUAUUCUUUCUGAUUACAGAAUCAAUCUCAAAUAUAAAUAACCAAGUCAGUGCAAAUAGCUUAAGUGAUGACCUCUUAGUUAAUAAUAGCUAAAGAAAGAAAAAUAGCGGAUUCAGAAUUAAGAGUAGUACUGAGCUUCAGUCUGUUAGUAAAGCAAGACCGAUUGCAUUAGCUCAGUACAAAAUAGAAGUAUGAUGGCAAUAAAUUGUCAUUCAGUGAAUUCUGAAGAUGAAGUAGACAUGGAUCUAACUAGAAGAAUAUAUAUGAAGGAUCCUGCAACAAUCUAUUUAAAUUUUUUCCUGGCGAUUUCCUAUUGUUAGAGAGGGAGGGUUGAACAAGUGUUACUCUUCCACUAGGAUAAAUAAACUGAUGUGUCUACUCAAUGUGAUAUGAUCUUUAACAGUUUUGCAGUACAUUUGAGAAAACAACACUAGACUAAUAUCAAAGUUAGUUUCCAAUUCCUAAUUCUGACAAUUUGGUGACCUGUGGUUCAUGUCGCGACUAGCUUAAAUUAAUCACAUAAUCACUUUCUAGGUCAACUUUCAUGAUAUUUCUGUUGAACAUAUCCUUUUAAACCAAUCAAGACCAUGAUCUUUUGUAUGAAGUCCUCUCCUUGAUGUAAAUUGCAAAACCAUAAUAUUUUUAGUUUGUUCAGUUUCUUUUCCUCCAUUCAAGGCUGCUGUCUCUCCUGUCUCCUUUGAGGACACUAAACCUGCAAGUAAGACUUUACAAUUUUUCACAUUAACUAUGAUUGGUUGCUAAUAACCUUCUUUCUCUACAGUGCUCAAAACUAUUCUAUCUUGCUAGGUAUGAUGCAAGUAAUUCGUUAAAAUUCUUAUUCUUAUCGAUGCAUAAUUUGGACCCGCGAACUGAUGGUAGUUGUUUAUAGUUCAGUUUGUAUUACUCACAUUAUUUGGUGGUCCUUAGUUAAUGAACAAUCCUCUUGCCAUUGCCUUGUAAAUUUCCCUUCCUUUCCUGCAUCUGCACAUAGUUUUCAAGAUUCACGCCAAGUUUCAAGCUUUCAUUUGUUGUCAAGUAAGGGUCGAAUUUCUUACACUUAUAAGGCAUACCUAAAUGGCUUGGUUCAAUAUGUUGGUUUCAUAAGUUGUGAGUUGGGACAACUAUGGCGUGGCAAUGUUGGUGUUCCUAAAUAUUAUGUGUGAUAUCUAUAUUUUUCUAUAUUUGGUCAUCAGUUCUAAAAGACUAUUGUUUAAGGAGUGCAUUGCUAAUUGUGUCGGCCUUUUUAUUGAUACUCAGUCUAGAAUCAUGAUAAGUGUAUUUGACAUUACAUUAUAAAUCAGCUGUUUGAAUGAUCUCCCACAAA